RNAcentral lists this transfer RNA (73 nucleotides) under Vicugna pacos (alpaca). Its description in RNAcentral is "tRNA-Ala (AGC) (tRNA-Ala-AGC-245-1)". It matches the Rfam family "tRNA". From Rfam's summary of the family: Transfer RNA (tRNA) molecules are approximately 80 nucleotides in length. Their secondary structure includes four short double-helical elements and three loops (D, anti-codon, and T loops). The record is from RNAcentral. Lineage: Eukaryota; Metazoa; Chordata; Mammalia; Artiodactyla; Camelidae.
GGAGGGUAUAGUUCAGUGGUAGAGCACGUGCUUAGCAUGCACGAGGUCCUGGGUUCAAUCCCCAGUACCUCCA